This is a non-coding RNA of Triticum aestivum (bread wheat), 115 nucleotides long. Lineage: Eukaryota; Viridiplantae; Streptophyta; Magnoliopsida; Poales; Poaceae. The record is from Rfam.
UUUGUACUCUCUUCGUCCGAAAAUACUUGUCGGAGAAAUAGAUGUGUCUAGAUGUAUUUUAGUUCUAGAUACAUCUAUUUUUUAGACAAGUAUUUCCGGACGGAGGAAGUAUUAA